Molecule: ribosomal RNA, 926 nt
Filed under: uncultured bacterium
Lineage: Bacteria
Description: bacterial SSU rRNA
Rfam family: Bacterial small subunit ribosomal RNA
Source: RNAcentral
ACGCCCUUAGAGUUUGAUCCUGGCUCAGGAUGAACGCUAGCUACAGGCUUAACACAUGCAAGUCGAGGGGAAACGACAUCGAAAGCUUGCUUUUGAUGGGCGUCGACCGGCGCACGGGUGAGUAACGCGUAUCCAACCUGCCCACCACUUGGGAAUAACCUUGCGAAAGUAAGACUAAUACCCAAUGACGUCUCUAGAAGACAUCUGAAAGAGAUUAAAGAUUUAUCGGUGAUGGAUGGGGAUGCGUCUGAUUAGCUUGUUGGCGGGGUAACGGCCCACCAAGGCUACGAUCAGUAGGGGUUCUGAGAGGAAGGUCCCCCACAUUGGAACUGAGACACGGUCCAAACUCCUACGGGAGGCAGCAGUGAGGAAUAUUGGUCAAUGGACGAGAGUCUGAACCAGCCAAGUAGCGUGCAGGAUGACGGCCCUAUGGGUUGUAAACUGCUUUUAUAAGGGAAUAAAGUGAGUCUCGUGAGACUUUUUGCAUGUACCUUAUGAAUAAGGACCGGCUAAUUCCGUGCCAGCAGCCGCGGUAAUACGGAAGGUCCGGGCGUUAUCCGGAUUUAUUGGGUUUAAAGGGAGCGUAGGCCGGAGAUUAAGCGUGUUGUGAAAUGUAGAUGCUCAACAUCUGCACUGCAGCGCGAACUGGUUUCCUUGAGUACGCACAAAGUGGGCGGAAUUCGUGGUGUAGCGGUGAAAUGCUUAGAUAUCACGAAGAACUCCGAUUGCGAAGGCAGCUCACUGGAGCGCAACUGACGCUGAAGCUCGAAAGUGCGGGUAUCGAACAGGAUUAGAUACCCUGGUAGUCCGCACGGUAAACGAUGGAUGCCCGCUGUUGGUCUGAAUAGGUCAGCGGCCAAGCGAAAGCAUUAAGCAUCCCACCUGGGGAGUACGCCGGCAACGGUGAAACUCAAAGGAAUUGACGG